AUGAACGCUGGCGGCGUGCCUAAUACAUGCAAGUCGAGCGAACAGACGAGGAGCUUGCUCCUCUGACGUUAGCGGCGGACGGGUGAGUAACACGUGGAUAACCUACCUAUAAGACUGGGAUAACUUCGGGAAACCGGAGCUAAUACCGGAUAAUAUAUUGAACCGCAUGGUUCAAUAGUGAAAGACGGUUUUGCUGUCACUUAUAGAUGGAUCCGCGCCGCAUUAGCUAGUUGGUAAGGUAACGGCUUACCAAGGCAACGAUGCGUAGCCGACCUGAGAGGGUGAUCGGCCACACUGGAACUGAGACACGGUCCAGACUCCUACGGGAGGCAGCAGUAGGGAAUAUUCCGCAAUGGGCGAAAGCUUGACGGAGCAACGCCGCGUGAGUGAUGAAGGUCUUCGGAUCGUAAAACUCUGUUAUUAGGGAAGAACAAAUGUGUAAGUAACUAUGCACGUCUUGACGGUACCUAAUCAGAAAGCCACGGCUAACUACGUG
Molecule: ribosomal RNA, 496 nt
Filed under: uncultured bacterium
Lineage: Bacteria
Description: partial 16S ribosomal RNA
Rfam family: Bacterial small subunit ribosomal RNA
Source: RNAcentral